GACGAACGCUGGCGGCGUGCCUAAUACAUGCAAGUUGAGCGCUGAAGGUUGGUACUUGUACCAACUGGAUGAGCAGCGAACGGGUGAGUAACGCGUGGGGAAUCUGCCUUUGAGCGGGGGACAACAUUUGGAAACGAAUGCUAAUACCGCAUAAAAACUUUAAACACAAGGUUUAAGUUUGAAAGAUGCAAUUGCAUCACUCAAAGAUGAUCCCGCGUUGUAUUAGCUAGUUGGUGAGGUAAAGGCUCACCAAGGCGAUGAUACAUAGCCGACCUGAGAGGGUGGUCGGCCACAUUGGGAAUGAGACACGGCCCAAACUCCUACGGGAGGCAGCAGUAGGGAAUCUUCGGCAAUAGACGAAAGUCUGACCGAGCAACGCCGCGUGAGUGAAGAAGGGUUUCGGAUCGUAAAACUCUGUUGGUAGAGAAGAACGUUGGUGAGAGUGGAAAGCUCAUCAAGUGACGGUAACUACACAGAAAGGGACGGCUAACUACGUG
This 497-nucleotide ribosomal RNA is filed under the name uncultured bacterium. RNAcentral's name for it is "partial 16S ribosomal RNA". It matches the Rfam family "Bacterial small subunit ribosomal RNA", at positions 28 to 507 of the family's 1533-position model. The record is from RNAcentral.